GGCGCACGGGUGCGUAACGCGUAUGCAACCUACCUUUUAUUGGGGGAUAGCCCGGAGAAAUCCGGAUUAAUACCGCAUAACAUCAUUGACUGGCAUCGGUUGGUGAUGAAAGCUGAGGCGAUAAGAGAUGGGCAUGCGUGCCAUUAGCUAGUUGGUAGGGUAAAGGCCUACCAAGGCUACGAUGGCUAGGGGUUCUGAGAGGAUGAUCCCCCACACUGGUACUGAGAUACGGACCAGACUCCUACGGGAGGCAGCAGUAGGGAAUAUUGGGCAAUGGACGGAAGUCUGACCCAGCCAUGCCGCGUGCAGGAAGAAGGCCUUCUGGGUUGUAAACUGCUUUUAUCUAGGAAGAAAAUACCCUUGCGAGGGGAACUGACGGUACUAGGUGAAUAAGCACCGGCUAACUCCGUGCCAGCCGCCGCGG
RNAcentral lists this ribosomal RNA (424 nucleotides) under uncultured bacterium. RNAcentral describes it as "bacterial SSU rRNA". It matches the Rfam family "Bacterial small subunit ribosomal RNA", at positions 97 to 520 of the family's 1533-position model. The record is from RNAcentral.